GGAGAUAUACCCAAGUGGCUGAAGGGUCCGCACUCGAAAUGCGGUAGGUCGGUAAAUGUUCCGGCGCGCGAGUUCAAAUCCCGCUAUCUCCGCUA
Molecule: transfer RNA, 95 nt
Filed under: Roseburia inulinivorans
Lineage: Bacteria; Bacillati; Bacillota; Clostridia; Lachnospirales; Lachnospiraceae
Also listed under: 1 other name
Description: tRNA-Ser
Rfam family: tRNA
About the family: Transfer RNA (tRNA) molecules are approximately 80 nucleotides in length. Their secondary structure includes four short double-helical elements and three loops (D, anti-codon, and T loops). Further hydrogen bonds mediate the characteristic L-shaped molecular structure. tRNAs have two regions of fundamental functional importance: the anti-codon, which is responsible for specific mRNA codon recognition, and the 3' end, to which the tRNAs corresponding amino acid is attached (by aminoacyl-tRNA synthetases). tRNAs cope with the degeneracy of the genetic code in two manners: having more than one tRNA (with a specific anti-codon) for a particular amino acid; and 'wobble' base-pairing, i.e. permitting non-standard base-pairing at the 3rd anti-codon position.
Source: RNAcentral